This 762-nucleotide ribosomal RNA is filed under the name uncultured bacterium. RNAcentral describes it as "bacterial SSU rRNA". It matches the Rfam family "Bacterial small subunit ribosomal RNA", at positions 771 to 1532 of the family's 1533-position model. The record is from RNAcentral.
AACAGGAUUAGAUACCCUGGUAGUCCACGCCGUAAACGAUGUCGACUUGGAGGCUGUUCCCUUGAGGAGUGGCUUCCGGAGCUAACGCGUUAAGUCGACUGCCUGGGGAGUACGGCCGCAAGGUUAAAACUCAAAUGAAUUGACGGGGGCCCGCACAAGCGGUGGAGCAUGUGGUUUAAUUCGAUGCAACGCGAAGAACCUUACCUACUCUUGACAUCCAGAGAAUUUAGCAGAGAUGCUUUAGUGCCUUCGGGAACUCUGAGACAGGUGCUGCAUGGCUGUCGUCAGCUCGUGUUGUGAAAUGUUGGGUUAAGUCCCGCAACGAGCGCAACCCUUAUCCUUUGUUGCCAGCGCGUAAUGGCGGGAACUCAAAGGAGACUGCCGGUGAUAAACCGGAGGAAGGUGGGGAUGACGUCAAGUCAUCAUGGCCCUUACGAGUAGGGCUACACACGUGCUACAAUGGCGCAUACAAAGAGAAGCGACCUCGCGAGAGCAAGCGGACCUCAUAAAGUGCGUCGUAGUCCGGAUUGGAGUCUGCAACUCGACUCCAUGAAGUCGGAAUCGCUAGUAAUCGUAAAUCAGAAUGUUACGGUGAAUACGUUCCCGGGCCUUGUACACACCGCCCGUCACACCAUGGGAGUGGGUUGCAAAAGAAGUAGAUAGCUUAACCUUCGGGAGGGCGUUUACCACUUUGUGAUUCAUGACUGGGGUGAAGUCGUAACAAGGUAACCGUAGGGGAACCUGCGGCUGGAUCACCUCCUU